Molecule: ribosomal RNA, 256 nt
Filed under: uncultured soil bacterium
Lineage: Bacteria
Description: partial 16S ribosomal RNA
Rfam family: Bacterial small subunit ribosomal RNA
Source: RNAcentral
AGGACGAACGCUGGCGGCGUGCUUAACACAUGCAAGUCGAGCGAGGCUCUCCUUCGGGAGAUGUCCUAGCGGCGAACGGGUGAGUAACACGUGGGCAACCUGCCUCUAGCUCUGGGAUAACUCCGGGAAACCGGGGCUAAUACCGGAUACGACCUCGAGCGGCAUCUAUCGAGGUGGAAAGUUUUUCGGCUAGAGAUGGGCCCGCGGCCUAUCAGCUUGUUGGUGAGGUAACGGCCCACCAAGGCGACGACGGGUA